GAUGAACGCUGGCGGCGUGCUUAACACAUGCAAGUCGAACGAGAAAUGUAGACGGAAACCUUCGGGCGGAAGCCUUCAUUUCGAGUGGCGGACGGGUGAGUAACGCGUGGGUAACCUGCCUCAUACAGGGGGAUAACAGUUGGAAACGACUGUUAAUACCGCAUAGGACCACAGCAUCGCAUGAUGCGGGGGUAAAAACUCCGGUGGUAUGAGAUGGACCCGCGUUCGAUUAGCCAGUUGGCGGGGUAACGGCCCACCAAAGCGACGAUCGAUAGCCGAUCUGAGAGGAUGACCGGCCACAUUGGGACUGAGACACGGCCCAAACUCCUACGGGAGGCAGCAGUGGGGAAUAUUGCACAAUGGGGGAAACCCUGAUGCAGCGACGCCGCGUGAGUGAAGAAGUACUUCGGUAUGUAAAGCUCUAUCAGCAGGGAAGAAAAUGACGGUACCUGAGUAAGAAGCCCCGGCUAACUACGUG
This 478-nucleotide ribosomal RNA is filed under the name uncultured bacterium. RNAcentral describes it as "partial 16S ribosomal RNA". It matches the Rfam family "Bacterial small subunit ribosomal RNA", at positions 28 to 507 of the family's 1533-position model. The record is from RNAcentral.